This 7286-nucleotide long non-coding RNA is filed under the name Manihot esculenta (cassava). Its description in RNAcentral is "long non-coding RNA (MESC_LNC006460)". Lineage: Eukaryota; Viridiplantae; Streptophyta; Magnoliopsida; Malpighiales; Euphorbiaceae. The record is from RNAcentral.
AAAGCGGAACAAAAGUAAAGUGCAAUAAAAGUAAAAAGGGGGGUUUUGAGAUUGAUUUGAUUAGCAAACUACUGAAAGCAAUUAAAUCAGCAAGUAAUUAAAAUAAAAGAGAAAUUCAAUAUGAGAAAGAUCUAGUUGAAGUGAUGGAUCUACUUUGGUUGUUUGGAUUGAUCAUUGAAACUUAUGUUCUCUUGAUUGAUUCAAUAGAUUAGUUAUGGAGGUGGAAAACGCUCCUCACCAUCAUGUCUCUCCUUAUGAUUAAAUCAAUUAGGGAACGUCCUCUAAUCAAUUACUAAUUAAAAAAUUGCCAAGGAACGUCCUUGGGCCUUAGACAUCAAAACAAUUGUCAAUUGCAUGAAGAAAUAGAGAGAUCCAAUCCUAGCUACCCAAUCGCAUGGAGAUGUUGCUAAAUCAUACAAUUCCUUAGUUGUUACACCAAGUCUUCUUAGGUCUGAAUAAUUCCAGCAAUUACGGACUAAAAAUUAUCCAAACUAACAAUCAAUUACCUUGCAAUCAAGAAUCAAGUGGCCAAUUUAAUCAAAACAACAAAGUAAUCAUAGAUUCAAGUACCAAAUUGCAUGAAUAUUAAAUAAAUCAAAGACAAAUAGUUUAUGUUCAGAUCUCACAAUCCAUAAAACAACCUUAGUUUCAACCAAUCUUCAACUAUAAUAAGGGAAUUCAGCCACUCAUGGCUGAAUUAAAACAGAAAUUAAAAGGGAAAGAAAAGGGAUGGAUGAACCAAAGAUGGAGAGAAAGUGCAAUUUGCCUUGCGCCGAAUCUUGAAAGAAUUGGAGAUUGUUCUUGCCGGCCACUUAAGGACUUCUUAUAUAGGAUUUGAGGAGUUGCCUAGGUCUUCAAUUGCUGUCCAUGUGCGCCUUGAUUUGCUGUCCAUGUGCGUGUCCCAUGCACGCUUAUGCACACGUGAAUGGGUGAGUGCGUUUGGUCCUCAAUUGCAAGGAAUGGGGCUGCCCAUUAUUUAAUUGCUGGUGCAGAUGUCUUUGCUGCCCAUAUAUCUUCAAGAGGCUGCCCAAGUGCAUCCAAAAGGCUGCCCAAGUGUCAAGUUGCUGUCCAUGCACAAAUAAGGAAGGUGGAGCCUUUCCUUGCACAUGUGAAUUUUGAAUGUGCAAAGUAUGAGUUGGCAAGCAUGUGAUCUUCAAGAUUUGGCUUUCUUAGCAAGCUGGAUUUUGAAGUUCAAAAUUUGAAUAUGAAUCUUAAAGAUUUGAAAUUCAAAAUACUUUUCUUAUUUGGCUCUUCAUAUAUGGCAACUUGAGACUUGGCUUCUUGAAUAAGGAAGAGGCUACUUGGAGAUUUGAAAUUUGAAUUUCAAAUUGCUUUGGCUGAAUGUUCUUUCCUUCUUUGCCACUUUCCUUAUUUAGAACUUUUCUUAUUUGGCUUCACUUGAUUUCAACUUGGCAGGCUUGCUCUCCUUUGCUCCAUUUAAGGCAGUUUUAAGGGUAUUUUCUCCAAAAUGUCCUUUUUCACCAUUUUUUGCAAAACAAUGCCAAGAGCACUAAAUUAAGCAGAAAUCAUGUAAAUAAUCAUCAAUAAUAUCAAGAUAAAAUGGACUAAAAUAUGUUCUAUCAAAUACCCCCACACUUAGCCUUUUGCUUGUCCUCAAGCAAAUAAACAUAGUCAAACAAGCUUUCUUUGCUACUUGAUCCUUAUUUCCACUUAAGCUCUUACUCAAGACACCUAUUUUGAAUCAUUGCAGUGAAGAAUAAAUGCAUGAAGAUUACUCACCUUCUUUCCUUGUUUCUCUUUGCUUACCAUGGCUAGGAUUUGUUUUCCUUAAGAGAGAGAUCAUACAUGCACAUAUUAAUUGUUCAGAUAAGACUUUUUCUAGCUUUCAGAGUGACUUGCCCUUACCUUGAAGUUCUUUAUUCAGCUUUUUGCACUUUUUAAUCUUGCUUGAAAAAGUCACCAACCUUUUGACGUGAAGGUACAUAUUUGUGAUACCCACCCCCAGUUACUCAGUUGGUCACCUGUCUAAGUGGCUACUAGCUUUGUUCAUAGUCUUUUGACCAUUGAAAAAGUUUUGAAUUUGUGUUUAUGAGGUCUAAGCCUUUGCUGAAUUUCUUUAAUCAAUGCAUUGGGCAAAUCAACACCAAUUGCUAAAUCAAGUCAUGUUAAGUUCAUUCACACAAAUUUCAAUUCAUUCUCUCUAAUGAGUGUCAUCAAUACAUUUUUCACCAUGGCAAGCUCAAAGAUUCAAUUCAAAAGGCAAUUCUCAAACAUGAAUACAACUCACUGCAAUUGAUUCAACAUAAGUUUAAAGAGUCAUCACAUCAAUGGGGUCAUGGAAAGAAAAACUCAUCCAACAUAGUUCAUCAGUUUGAGUAUAGCAAAACAAAAAGAAGAAGAAGAAGGUUGUGGUUGUGUGUGUGUUAUUGAAAGCAUAAAUGAAAACAAACUAAAGGAAAACUGAAAGCAAAACUGAAAGCAAAACUGAAUAAGCAGAAAUCGCAAAUUCUGAAAGGAAAAAAUGAAAAAAAUUUCGCAGACUGAAAGCUAUGUAAAUUCGCAGAACUGAAAGGAAGGAGAAGAAGAAAAGAAGAGGAAGAAGAGAAGAAGAAGAGAAGAAAUAUGCACCCCCACACCUAAAUCAUGCAUUGUCCUCAAUGUAUAAGAAACAUAAAAGAACAAAGGAAACUGAGUACUCCCCUGGGGUGUGGUGUGCAUGGCAUGAUCACUUAGGCUGAAUGAGAUGGUUGAUGUAGUGGAAUUUCUUCCACUACUUGCACUGCAAAUCCUUCAUAGAAAGGUUUUAGACGAUGGCCAUUCACCUUGAAGAUUUUUCCUGUCUCUAUAUUGCGAAUGUCUACAGCUCUAUGUGGGUAAGCAUGUUCUACAAUGAAUGGUCCAAUCCACCUAGACCAUAGCUUUCCUGAAAACAAUUUCAAAUGAGAGUCAAAGAGUAAGACUUUAUCACCAACCUCAAAUUGUUUUCUUGAAAGCUGACUGUCAUGGGAGGCUUUGAUUUUUGCUUUGUAGUUCCAAGAAGUCUCAUAAGCAUCUCGUCUUAUUUUCUCUAGCUCUUGCAGUUGCAACUUGCGAUGUUGUCCAACUUCUUUGAGGUCUAUGUUGCAAUUCUUUACUGCCCAAUAGGCCUUGUGUUCAAGUUCAACUGGAAGGUGACAAGUUUUCCCAUAGACCAAUCUGUAAGGGGACAUACCUAUGGGGGUUUUGUAGGCUGUUCUGUAGGCCCAUAAAGCAUCUUCUAAUCUUGUACUCCAGUCCUUUCGGUUAGGAGACACUGUCUUUUCAAGGAUGGCCUUGAUUUCUCUAUUGGACACUUUAGUUUGCCCAUUUGUCUGAGGGUGGUAUGCUGUGGAUGUUCUAUGGAUCACAUUGUGCUUUAUGAGAAGGCUUUCCACUACCUUAUUGCAAAAAUGGGUCCCUUUUUCACUGAUGAUUGCCUUUGGUACUCCAUGUCGGGCAAAGAUGUUGGUCUUCACAAAGUCUACUACUGCCUUGGCAUCAUCAGUCUUUGUUGCUAUAGCUUCCACCCACUUGAACACAUAAUCCACUGCAAGGAUGAUGUAGGUGUAUCCAAAGGAUGGGGGAAAUGGGCCCAUGAAGUCUAUGCCCCAAACGUCAAAUACUUCACAGACCAUGAUGGGGUUCUGUGGCAUUUGAUUUCUUUUGCUCAGAUUUCCAGUCUGUUGACACCUAGCGCAUGAUCUGCAAAACAGAAAAGCAUCUUGAAAAAUAGUGGGCCAAAACAGGCCACUUUCAAGUAUUUUAUGAGCAGUCUUUCUUGGACCAAAGUGUCCACCACAACUAUAUGAAUGACAAAAAGUAAGCACAGAAGCUAUUUCUUAGUCUGGAAUACAUCUCCUUAUCAUUUGGUCAGCACAAUAUUUCCACAAAUAGGGCUCAUCCCACACAUAGUAUUUGGCAUCUUUCUUUAUCUUAUCCUUGUUGUGCUUUGGCAUGUCAGAAGGUAAGUUACCUGUGGCUAAGUAGUUCACCAUAUCUGCGUACCAUGGCUCAUCAGAUUGGGCAAGGAAGAUUUGUUCAAUGAGGUCAUUCUUACAUUCUUCAGAUUCUGAAAGGUGUUGCAAAGAUGUCUACGCAGAGAUGGUUUCAAAAGUCUCCUUCUGCGCAAGAUCUGACUGCAGAGGCGGACUGGAAGAGCUUGCCUAGGCUGGAGGCUGAAGAGUUGCGCUGAAGACGGUUUCAGUCUGCAAUGGGAGCUGAGGUGAAAGGUUCGGCGGCCGAAAGAUGGUAGAGUUCGGCGGCCGAAAGGUGGUAGAGUCUGGCGGCCGAAAGAUCAUGGCUUCAGUUUGCGCAGGUCCUUGCUGAAGUGGUGCAACAGAGUUUUCUUUAAUCUGCGCUUGACUGCAAUGUACCUGUUGGAUGCUACAGACAGUCUCUUUCAGUUUUGGUUCCUUCUGGCUCUCAUUCCUGCAAAGAUCAUCAUUCAGAAUACAAUCUUAAUUCUCAUUAAAUAUUUCCUGGCUUAAACAGUCAAUAAUAUCAAGACCAUAAACAUGGGACAUAUCAUGUGGAUAUUUCAUAGCAUCAUAGACAUUGAAUUUAAUGACUUCCCCUUAAACUCCAUAGUCAAAGUACCAUCAUGCACAUCAAUCUUAGUCCUAGCAGUACUCAAGAAAAGACAUCCAAGAAGGAUAUCAGAACUAGUAUUGCAACUAUCUUUCUUAGUAUCAAUCACAUAAAAAUCUGUAGGAAAGACAAGUUAAUCUACUUGAACUAACACAUCUUCUAGGACACCUAUGGGAUAUACCAUAGAUCUAUCAGCUAAUUGAAUCACAACUCUUGUGUCUUUCAGUGCACAUGCAUUCAGAGAAUUAUAGAUGGAAAGAGGCAUAACAUUGAUGGAUGCACCAAGAUCACAUAUAGCUUUCUUAAUACCAACGUUCCCAAUUUUGUAAGAAAAAGCAAACAUACCUUUGUCUUUGCAUUUAGUAGGGAGUUCUCUUUUAAUCACAGCAGUAACAACUUCACCUACACUUACUUUUUCUCUCUCAGCAAGCUUUCUUCUAUUGGUGCAAAGUUCUUUUAGAAAUUUUACGUACCUUGGAAUCAGCUUAACAGCAUCUAGCAGAGGUGUGUUGAUCUGGACCUUUCUGAAGGUGUCAAGAAUCUCUUUUUCUUCCUUUUCUUUUUGUGUUCUUUCAAAUCUCUUUGGAAAAGGAGGUGGAAUGUGAAAGCUUACCUUUUAAUUAGUCUUUUACGCAUGAGGUGCUUCAGGUGGAGCUCGGCUGGCCGGCUCAUGGAGAUGGGGUUGCACAGAUGUUUCAGUUUGCGCAGGAGAGGUUUCAGGUUGUGCAGGCUCUUGUGCAACUUGCUUUUCUUCCUCAUAUCUUGCAUUUUGAAGCUCCUUUCCACUUCUCAGAGUAAUGGCACUAACAUUUUGUCUAGGAUUAGUUUCAGUUUGAGAAGGGAGCUUACCUUGCAUUUCAGAUCUGCUCAUGGACGCAGUCAGUUGUCCUAUGUUCUGUCGCAUGCCCUGCAUGGCAUUUACCAUUGUUUCCAUCAUCUUUUCAAGGUGAUGGAUGGAAUUUGGAGGUUCUGGUUGGGCUUGAUUCCUUUGAUAGUUCUGAUAGUUCUGAUUGCUGUUGGCCCUUCCAUAGCUGAGAUUUGGGUGGUCCCUCCAACCUGGGUUGUAGGUGUUGGAAUAUGGAUCAUGUCUAGGCUGGUUGUUAUAUCCUCCAAUGGCAUUAACUUGCUGGUUGUCUUCUUGAAGAGUAGGACAUUGAUCAGUUGGAUGUCCUACAUAUGCACAAAUACCACAUGGCCUAGGUGGCUGGGUUGCUUGAAUCUGUUGAACCAGUCCUAUGGUAAAAUCUUUCAUAACAGAUGUCAAUUCAGAAAUAGUAGGUGAACUUACCUCAUUGACUCCUCUUUGCAGUUGCUUUUCUUCUCCAUAUUGCCUAGAUGAGGCUGCAAGUGUGGAGAUCAACUCUCUCAUCUCCCUAGGUGUCUUGUCUGCAAUGGAUCCACCACAAGCUACAUCUAUGAAUCACCUUUCUGAUGAGAGCAAUCCCCCAUAGAAGAACUAUAUGAGGGACCUGUCUGACAUAUCAUGUUGUGGACAACCUGUACACAGUCUUUCAAACCUUUCCCAAUAAUCAUAUAAAUCCUCAGUUGGUUUCUGUCUUAUGCUAGUGAUUUCUCUUAUUAUGCCAAUUGACUUAGAUGUUGGAAAGUAUUUGUUCAAAAAGGUUUGGACCAUAUCAUCCCACGAAGUUAUAGAUCCAGGUGGCAAAUAAAAUAACCAAUCUUUAGCAUAGUCAUCUAAUGAAAAAGGAAAAGCUCUUAACUUAACAUGAUCUUUAGAAAUACCUUGAGGUCUCAUGGAUGAACAAACAAUAUUGAACUCUUUGUGUGGAUUUUCAUUUUGCAAACCUCUAAAUUUAGGGAGAAGAUGGAUCAAACCUGUUUUCGGAUCAAACCUGUUUUUAGUUCAAAGGGAACUGUCAGAGGUGGAUAGGUAAUGCAAAGUGGUGCUUGAUCGCCUACAGGUGUUGCCAAUUCUCUCAUGGUUCUUUCUCUUGACAUUGGAGCUCUAAUGGCUGGAUUUUCUUGAAUUAUUUGGUCAUGGACAGCCUGUCCAUUUUGGGCAGCAUGUUGUGCAUUAGGUUCAACCAUUGGUGCGAAGUUCGGUGGCUGGAGAAGGGAAGGUUCGGCGGCCGAAUGUUGAUGAAGUUCGGCGGCCGAAUGUGUGGCAAAAUGUUCAGGCGCAGUGGCUUACUUUCCGAGUCUUCUGAUUGUGCGUUCAAUCUCUGGAUCAUAAGGCAGAGUGUCCCUACAUUCAGAUCUAGUCAUGAAAGAAAAAUAAACAAGUUAGAACAAUUCUCCGGCAACGGCGUCAAUUUUUGACUCGUGGUUGUCGAAGCCGGUCAAAAAUAACAUUUCCAGUUAUCAACAAUUUUACAAUUGCAGAUAGUGGUAAAGGAUCGAAUCCAUAGAGAAUUUAAAACUUAUCUAUUUUUCUCAACAAGACCAAUAGAUUAAACUGAAUGAGAAACUGAAAGUAAGUAACUGAAAGCGGAACAAAAGUAAAGUGCAAUAAAAGUAAAAAGGGGGGUUUUGAGAUUGAUUUGAUUAGCAAACUACUGAAAGCAAUUAAAUCAGCAAGUAAUUAAAAUAAAAGAGAAAUUCAAUAUGGAAAGAUCUAGUUGAAGAGAUGGAUCCACUUUGGUUGUUUGGAUUGAUCAUUGAAACUUAUGUUCUCUUGAUUGAUUCAAUAGAUUAGUUAUGGAGGUGGAAAACGCUUCUCACCACCAUGUCUCUCCUUAUGAUUAAAUCAAUUAGGGAAC